Molecule: long non-coding RNA, 1022 nt
Organism: Rhagoletis pomonella (apple maggot)
Lineage: Eukaryota; Metazoa; Arthropoda; Insecta; Diptera; Tephritidae
Exons: 2
Source: RefSeq, a predicted model, not a curated record
AAAAAAAUUAAAACUUUCGCAUCAUAAAUUAAUUUAUUUUCUUCUUAAAACUUUGUCAUAAAUUUUAAUUGCUCUUAUCUAAUCAUAUCAGUGCGUUUUGGCUAAAGUUUGCCAGAAAGUGUGUCAAUAAAUAUGUACGUACAUAUUUAGAAAUGCAGACAGAUAUACGUACAUGCAAACGUAUUAAAUGCAACACAGCUAAAAGUGAAUCGCUCAGUUAUCAGUAGCGGCCAAAAUUUGUCUGUGUAUUAGUGAAAGAGUCCUCCGGGGCGUAUGAGUGUAGAAAUUCUUGCUUAUUUGAAAAUCAAACAUAUACUUAUAUGUACAUGGUGUUUAUACUAUAGCAUACAUAAGUAUAUCCAUAAGUAUUUUGAGAAAAAAAUCGCAUAGAAAUUUGACAAAUAAAUUGAAAAUAUUGUGAACCCAAUAAAUAUGUCAACUGCAGCCUAGACCAAAAAAUCGCUAUCUUCAGCCAUAAAUACAUUAUACAUAAAACGAAGACUCCAAUGAUGAAAAUCUGAACAUUGAAGAUUUUGGUGAUGGCACUGUCCCAACAUUAACAACAACAACACCCACAUCCAUCAUUUAAGUAUCUAGUACUAGCGGCAGCAAGACCCCUGUCAUUCAUUUCGGUGAUAAUCACUGCGGAAGCGGUGACACAAACUACAAAAACAUCAACAAUAUCAAUAAUAACAACAAAAAAAACUACAACUCUAACAAUACUAACGCUGCCAAUACAAAAUUCCAACAGAUAAAACAAAAAAAAAUACGUCACAGAUUACAUCAACAGCAGCCAUAUCAACAACAGCAGCAAUUGUGGUAAUACAAAUUUUUGCCAAGAUACAGGCAACACAAGCCAAUAGCAAGAACAAUAACAACAGCGCUAACAAAGCCAGUUGUAUUAGGUUUUGCAGUAACAGUAACAGCAGAAAAAUGCGCCGCAAUGUAAAAUUCAUUGUUUUUGUUAGCAUCAUUUGGAUAUUCGUUAUGGUCUACUACUUCCAGUCCAGCACGGAAAAGGU